AUGAUCUCCCUGCUCUCCCUACUCCCGUUCCUUCUCCUCGCGAUCGCCGCCGAGGCAACCGGCGACGAGCUCAGCACGUUCAUCGUCCACGUGCAAGCGGAGGAGAACCACGUGUUCGGCACCGCGGACGAUCGGAAGGCGUGGUACCACUCGUUCCUCCCCGACCAUGGCCGGCUCGUCCACGCGUACCACCACGUCGCCAGCGGGUUCGCGGCCCGGCUGACGCGCAGCGAGCUCGAGGCGAUGUCCGCCAUGCCCGGGUUCCUCAGCGCAACCUCUGACCGGACGUACACGAUGUCGACGCACACGCCCGAGUUCCUUGGGCUGGACGUGGAGCAGGGGCGGCGGAACUACACGUCGGAGUUCGGCGCCGGCGUCAUUGUCGGCGUGAUCGACACCGGCAUCUUCCCUGACCACCCGUCCUUCAGCGACGACGGCAUGCCGCCGCCGCCGGCCAAGUGGAAGGGGCGCUGCGACUUCAACCGCACCUCGUGCAACAACAAGCUCAUCGGCGCGCGCAACUUCGUCGCCACCCUCAACGGCCCGAACGGCACUUCCGCGCGGGUGCCGCCUGUCGAUGACUUUGGGCACGGCACUCACACAGCGAGCACCGCGGCGGGAGCGGUCGUGCCGGGCGCUAAUGUGCUCGGCCACGCGUUGGGCACCGCCGCCGGGAUUGCGGCCCGCGCGCACAUUGCCAUGUACAAGGUGUGCGACCUCAAUGGAGGCUGCGAGGCGUCCGACAUACUGGCCGGUGUUGACGCCGCUGUUGGCGACGGUUGCGACGUCAUCUCCAUGUCUCUCGGCGGGCCGUCGGUGCCCUUUCACCUAGAUCCUAUUGCCAUUGGGACGUUCGGCGCCAUCGAGAAGGGCAUCUUUGUGAGCAUGGCUGCUGGCAACUCCGGCCCGGGAGAGAGCACCGUGAUAAACGAAGCUCCGUGGAUGCUCACCGUCGCCGCGAGUACCAUGGACCGCUCCAUCCGUUCGAUCGUGCAGCUGGGGAACGGCGCAUAUUUCCACGGCGAGUCACUCUACCAGCCAAACGCCGGUGUGCCCAGUGCCUUCUACCCGUUGGUGUCCGCCGGCGCGAGCGGGAAGCCACUGGCCGAGUUCUGUGGGAACGGCUUGCUGGACGGCGUCGACGUCAAGGGCAAGAUAGUGCUCUGUGAGCUCACGAGAAAUAUCUCGGCGAUGAACCAAGGCCAGGUGGUGCUGAGUGCCGGCGGCGUCGGCAUGAUCUUGGCGAACCAGUUUGCCCAAGGCUACGACACGUUAGCCCAGGCGAACGCCCUCCCGGCGUCGAGCGUCGACUACUUCGCGGGCGCAGCCAUCAAAUCCUACCUCAACUCCACGGUGAACCCGGUGGCGAGUAUCGGCUUCAGCGGCACAGUGCUCGGCACGUCACCUGCUCCGUCGAUCGUUUUCUUCUCGUCUCGUGGGCCUAGCCGUCAAGGCCCUGGCUUUCUGAAGCCCGACAUCACGGGGCCGGGGGUGAACGUGCUCGCCGCAUGGCCGUUUCAGGUCGGGCCACCGUCAGCACCGGUUCUUCCCGGACCGACCUUCAACAUCAUCUCCGGCACGUCCAUGUCGACACCGCACCUCGUCGGCAUUGCAGCGCUGAUCAAGAGCAAGCACCCGGACUGGUCGCCGGCGGCUAUCAAGUCGGCCAUGAUGACGACGGCCGACAUCACCGACCGCUCCGGCAAUCCCAUACUCAACGAGCAGCGCAUGGCGGCCAACUUCUUCGCCACCGGCACCGGGCAUGUUUUAUGGGUAAAGGCCGCUGACCCUGGCCUAGUCUAUGACAUUACUCCCGAGGAUUACAUCGGCUACCUCUGUGGCAUGUACACGAGCCAGCAGGUCUCGGUGGUCGCGCGCCGGCGGAUCGAUUGCUUAACCACCGUCGUGAUCAGCGACCGCCUGCUGAAUUACCCGUCGAUCUCGGUCGCUUUCCCGGCGUCCUGGAAUUCGACGGCCCCGGUGGUCGUGGGGCGCAAGGUGAAGAACGUCGGGGAGGUGCCUUCGGUGUACUACGCGGCGAUCGACAUGCCGAGUAGCGCCGUAAGCGUGGACGUAUACCCGAGGGAGCUGGAGUUCAUCGAAGCAAACCAGGAGAUGAUCUUUUCGGUAUAUGUGUGGCCGAGGCAGAGUGGUGCAAGGGUGGUGCAAGGUGCUCUACGGUGGGUAUCCGAGAAGCACACUGUGCGGAGCCCAAUCUCCGUCACCUUUGCUUGA
This 2235-nucleotide ribosomal RNA is filed under the name Triticum aestivum (bread wheat). RNAcentral's name for it is "partial small subunit ribosomal RNA". The record is from RNAcentral. Lineage: Eukaryota; Viridiplantae; Streptophyta; Magnoliopsida; Poales; Poaceae.